UGUGUCGCGGCGGUGGCGAGCGUACAGUGGUUAAUUUAAUUUUGGACCUAAAAUUUGCCUCCAUCCAUCAUUGGGCCGUUGGCUGUACCAUACUUAGGCUAGAAAUCUCCAGUAGGCCCAAUCUGCAAAAUCUCCCAGUGCCUAUUGACGGCGACGUGUUUCGGAGAGCAGCGGCAUUUUGCGGCGGCGGAGGAUUAUUAAUGGCUGACGAAGCGGCGGAGCAGACGCGUCUUAGUUCGGAGUCUGCCGAAGACGGCGUGCCUCCUAGUUCGGAGUUCGUCGAAGACGGCGUCAGCAACUGGCCGACGGUUCAGUAUGACGUCGCUCCAUACAAAACCUACCAUUUCUUCCAGCAGUUCAGAACUAACGAAUCGAACCCUAACAAUUUUCUCAAAGGCGUCAAAUGGUCGCCGGACGGUUCGUGCUUCCUGACCUGUAAUGAGGACAAUACACUCCGAGUUUUCAGUUUGCCUUAUAAUGACAUUGGAGGUCCUGAUGCUCCUACGUGCACGCCUGAUUCUGAUUCAUACGAGCCAAAUGUUGUUGUGAGUGAAGGAGAAUCUGCAUAUGACUAUUGCUGGUACCCAUACAUGUCUGCUUCAAAUCCAGAUCUAUGUGUAUUCGCAACAUCUACUCGGGACCAUCCUAUUCAUCUCUGGGAUGCAAAUUCUGGACAGCUACGCUGCACAUAUCGUGCCUAUGAUGCCAUGGAUGAAAUUACUGCAGCCUUUUCAAUUGGCUUUAACCCUGGUGGAAACAAGAUAUUUGCUGGAUACAAUAAAGCUAUCAGAAUUUUUGAGGUUCAUCGCCCAGGGAGAGAUUUUGAACAACACUCGACUGUUUUAGGAAACAAAGAAGGCCAAUCAGGUAUUAUAUCUUCUAUUGCUUUUUCCCCCACUUCUUCUGGUAUGCUGGCUGCGGGCUCCUACAACCAGACUACUGCUAUAUACAGAGAAGACAAUAUGGAACUGCUGUAUGUGUUGCAUGGCCAAGAAGGUGGGGUUACACAAGUUCAGUUUUCUAAGGAUGGAAACUAUUUGUACUCUGGGGGACGGAAGGAUCCUUAUAUUCUAUGCUGGGAUAUUCGCAAAACUGUUGAUAUUGUCUACAAACUAUAUCGAUCAUCUGAAAGCACCAAUCAGAGAAUACAAUUUGAUAUUGAGCCUCUUGGUCGAUAUCUUGGAACUGGUGGUCAGGAUGGUCUGGUGCAUAUCUAUGAUCUUCAGACCGGGGAGUGGGUAUCAAGCUUUCAAGCGGCACUAGACACUGUAAACGGAUUUGGUUUCCACCCAUUUCUACCGAUGGCAGCCACUUCAUCAGGACACCGCCGAUAUAUAGAUCUUGAUGACUCUGCAGAGGAUAACAGUUUGAGUGGUGAUGAAAAUUGUGUGUCGAUAUGGAGCUUUUAUUCUUCUGGAGGCGGCGAUGCAGUUGAAGGUGUUGGUGAUGUUGCAAAUUGAUCUUUUAUUGCUUGACCAAUGGAAGCUUGUAGUUGCUUCAUAUAACUUUACAGUAACAUAUAAGUUUCCAGAAGUUACCAAUUCAUCUCCGUUAGAUAUGAGCAGAAAUCCAUUAUUUUGAAUAAGGAAGAUUCCAGAUCAGAUUAUAGCUAUUUUCAAGAUGAGGAGUGCUCUACCAAAUUCUUUGACAAAAACUUGUUCGCCUUAGUAAAUGAAAAAACAAAAACACCAAAAUUUGGUAUAAACCUGCGCUAGAAUUCCUUCUCAGCGCUGCUUAAUUUAAUGUAAUUUCCUUCAAUUGUUAUCGUGGUCUUAGUUUAAAUUUU
Molecule: RNA transcript, 1786 nt
Organism: Salvia miltiorrhiza (redroot sage)
Lineage: Eukaryota; Viridiplantae; Streptophyta; Magnoliopsida; Lamiales; Lamiaceae
Exons: 15
Source: RefSeq, a predicted model, not a curated record